This 364-nucleotide RNase P RNA is filed under the name Alistipes sp. Its description in RNAcentral is "RNase P RNA component class A". It matches the Rfam family "Bacterial RNase P class A". From Rfam's summary of the family: Ribonuclease P (RNase P) is a ubiquitous endoribonuclease, found in archaea, bacteria and eukarya as well as chloroplasts and mitochondria. Lineage: Bacteria; Pseudomonadati; Bacteroidota; Bacteroidia; Bacteroidales; Rikenellaceae. The record is from RNAcentral.
GCGCAGAUUCGGUUCAUCGCUGCCUCGCAAGAGGGGGAGGAAAGUCCGAGCAACACAGAGCACCGUGCAAGUUAACGGCUUGAUGUUCGAGAGGGUAUAGUAGCGUAACAGAAAAUAACCGCCCGGGCAGUAAGCGUCUUUCGAGAUGCGUCAGGGUAAGGGUGAAAAGGUGGGGUAAGAGCCCACCGCGAGGGCAGCAAUGUCGCUCGGUCAGUACGCCUCACGGGUUGCAAGGUUAUGUAUAUCGGCAAUUAAGGGUUGCUCGCCCGAUGCCGAGGGGUAAACCGCUGGAGGUGGCAAGUGAUUGUCAUCGUAGAUAAAUGAUGGACUAAAACAGAACUCGGCUUAUGGGGUCUGCAACCUU